AAAGGUGGUGGAUAUGAAUCAUAUUUUUUUGUUUAGUUUUUCUUAUGGCAAUAAUAAAAUGCCUCCAAUAUCAGUAUUGCGCCGUCAGUAGUCACUGCGUCAACUCAAUGCAUUUUGUUCCUCAAUAUGACAAUAAUAAUUUUGACUAAAAAGAUACUCAAGACACAAUAAUUAGGGCAAGAGUAAAGAGGUUUAGUGGUGGGACUGUAGCUUCAACCCUCGAAGAGCUUUCUCAAUUUUGUUUUUGAAAGUUUUCAAUGCAUGUAUAAAUAUAAAUACAAAUACAAAUACGUUCUUUUAAAGAUUGUAGGAAAAAAUAGUC
Molecule: long non-coding RNA, 322 nt
Filed under: Lathyrus oleraceus (garden pea)
Lineage: Eukaryota; Viridiplantae; Streptophyta; Magnoliopsida; Fabales; Fabaceae
Description: Pisum sativum (pea) long non-coding RNA (PSAT_LNC026874)
Source: RNAcentral